This 253-nucleotide ribosomal RNA is filed under the name uncultured bacterium. RNAcentral's name for it is "partial 16S ribosomal RNA". It matches the Rfam family "Bacterial small subunit ribosomal RNA", at positions 524 to 776 of the family's 1533-position model. The record is from RNAcentral.
UACGUAGGGUGCGAGCGUUGUCCGGAAUUAUUGGGCGUAAAGGGCUCGUAGGCGGUCUGUCGCGUCGGGAGUGAAAACUCAGGGCUUAACCCUGAGCCUGCAGUCGAUACGGGCAGACUGGAGUACUGCAGGGGAGACUGGAAUUCCUGGUGUAGCGGUGAAAUGCGCAGAUAUCAGGAGGAACACCGGUGGCGAAGGCGGGUCUCUGGGCAGUUCCUGACACUGAGGCACGAAGGCCAGGGGAGCAAACGGG